UGGGGAAUAUUGCACAAUGGGCGCAAGCCUGAUGCAGCCAUGCCGCGUGUGUGAAGAAGGCCUUCGGGUUGUAAAGCACUUUCAGCGGGGAGGAAGGCGGUGAGGUUAAUAACCUCAUCGAUUGACGUUACCCGCAGAAGAAGCACCGGCUAACUCCGUGCCAGCAGCCGCGGUAAUACGUAGGUGGCAAGCGUUGUCCGGAUUUAUUGGGCGUAAAGCGAGCGCAGGCGGUUUCUUAAGUCUGAUGUGAAAGCCCCCGGCUCAACCGGGGAGGGUCAUUGGAAACUGGGAGACUGGAGUGCAGAAGAGGAGAGUGGAAUUCCAUGUGUAGCGGUGAAAUGCGUAGAUAUAUGGAGGAACACCAGUGGCGAAGGCGGCUCGCUGGUCUGUAACUGACGCUGAGGGUCGAAAGCGUGGGGAGCAAACAGG
RNAcentral lists this ribosomal RNA (429 nucleotides) under Chloroflexota bacterium. Its description in RNAcentral is "Chloroflexi bacterium partial 16S ribosomal RNA". It matches the Rfam family "Bacterial small subunit ribosomal RNA", at positions 355 to 776 of the family's 1533-position model. Lineage: Bacteria; Bacillati; Chloroflexota. The record is from RNAcentral.